GAAUAUUGGACAAUGGGCGCAAGCCUGAUCCAGCCAUGCCGCGUGUGUGAAGAAGGCCUUCGGGUUGUAAAGCACUUUUGGCGGGGAGGAAGGCGUNCUGGUUAAUACCCUNUUCUAUUGACGUUACCCGCAGAAUAAGCACCGGCUAACUCCGUGCCAGCAGCCGCGGUAAUACGGAGGGUGCAAGCGUUAAUCGGAAUUACUGGGCGUAAAGCGCGCGCAGGCGGUUUGUUAAGUCAGAUGUGAAAUCCCCGGGCUCAACCUGGGAACUGCAUUUGAAACUGGCNAGCUAGAGUCUGGUAGAGGGGGGUAGAAUUCCAGGUGUAGCNGUGAAAUGCGUAGAGAUCUGGAGGAAUACCGGUGGCGAAGGCGGCCCCCUGGACCAACACUGACGCUCAGGUGCGAAAGCGUGGGGAGCAAACAGGAUUAGAUACCCC
Molecule: ribosomal RNA, 437 nt
Filed under: gamma proteobacterium SCGC AAA044-B23
Lineage: Bacteria; Pseudomonadati; Pseudomonadota; Gammaproteobacteria
Description: bacterial SSU rRNA
Rfam family: Bacterial small subunit ribosomal RNA
Source: RNAcentral